GUAUACUUAAUUAUGUCUAUGCAGCGUUAAUGCGCGGCGAAAAACCUCACACACUUGUCUAGUUUUUUUGAACUUUGCUUUUGGGUGCAUCAGCCUAGCUGCGUGCCCAAAGGUCUAAGCACAUUUUUUUAAUGUUAAAACCUUUAACCAAUAGUCAUGAAAAUUUUUAACAAAAAUUAAAAUCUUCAAAACUUUCAACAACGGAUCUCUUGGUUCUCGCAACGAUGAAGAACGCAGCGAAAUGCGAUACGUAUUGUGAAUUGCAGAUUUUCGUGAAUCAUCGAAUCUUUGAACGCACAUUGCACCCUCUGGUAUUCCAGAGGGUAUGCCUGUUUGAGCGUCAUUUCUCUCUCAAACCUUCGGGUUUGGUAUUGAGUGAUACUCUGUCAAGGGUUAACUUGAAAUAUUGACUUAGCAAGAGUGUACUAAUAAGCAGUCUUUCUGAAAUAAUGUAUUAGGUUCUUCCAACUCGUUAUAUCAGCUAGGCAGGUUUAGAAGUAUUUUAGGCUCGGCUUAAACAACAAUAAACUAAAAGUUUGACCUCAAAUCAGGUAGGACUACCCGCUGAACUUAAGCAUAUCAAUUAAGCGGAAGGGAAGGGAUCAUUAUAGUAUUCUAUUGCCCAG
This 626-nucleotide ribosomal RNA is filed under the name Hansenula anomala. RNAcentral's name for it is "eukaryotic LSU rRNA". The stretch from base 190 to 343 matches the Rfam family "5.8S ribosomal RNA". The record is from RNAcentral. Lineage: Eukaryota; Fungi; Ascomycota; Saccharomycetes; Phaffomycetales; Wickerhamomycetaceae.